This 492-nucleotide ribosomal RNA is filed under the name uncultured bacterium. RNAcentral's name for it is "partial 16S ribosomal RNA". It matches the Rfam family "Bacterial small subunit ribosomal RNA", at positions 29 to 507 of the family's 1533-position model. The record is from RNAcentral.
AGUGAACGCUGGCGGUAGGCCUAACACAUGCAAGUCGAACGGCAGCACAGUAAGAGCUUGCUCUUACGGGUGGCGAGUGGCGGACGGGUGAGGAAUACAUCGGAGUCUACGGUUUCGUGGGGGAGAACGUAGGGAAACUUACGCUAAUACCGCAUACGACCUACGGGUGAAAGCAUGGGAUCUUCGGACCUUGCGCGAUUGAAUGAGCCGAUGUCGGAUUAGCUAGUUGGCGGGGUAAAGGCCCACCAAGGCGACGAUCCGUAGCUGGUCUGAGAGGAUGAUCAGCCACACUGGAACUGAGACACGGUCCAGACUCCUACGGGAGGCAGCAGUGGGGAAUAUUGGACAAUGGGCGAAAGCCUGAUCCAGCCAUACCGCGUGGGUGAAGAAGGCCUUCGGGUUGUAAAGCCCUUUUGUUGGGAAAGAAAAGCAGCAGGUUAAUACCCCGCUGUUCUGACGGUACCAAAAGAAUAAGCACCGGCUAACUUCGUG